GCUACGGGAGGCAGCAGUAGGGAAUAUUGCUCAAUGGGGGAAACCCUGAAGCAGCAAAGACGCGUGGAGGAGGAAGGUGUUAGGAGGGGAAACGCCAGUUGUUAGAGAAGAUUAUGACGGUAUCUAACGAAUAAGCACCGGCUCACUCCGUGCCAGCCGCCGCGGUAAUACGGAGGGUGCAAGCGUUACUCGGACUCACUGGGCGUAAAGAGUGCGUAGGCGGGGUAAUAAGUCAGAUGUGAAAUCCUGUAGCUUAACUACAGAACUGCAUUUGAAACGGUUACUCUGGAGUGUGGGAGAGGUAGGUGGAAUGCUUGGUGUAGGGGUGAAAUCCGUAGAGAUCAAGAGGAAUACUCAUUGCGAAGGCGACCUGCUGGAACAUGACUGACGCUGAUGCACGAAAGCGUGGGGAGCAAACAGGAUUAGAUACCCCGGUAGUC
Molecule: ribosomal RNA, 440 nt
Filed under: uncultured bacterium
Lineage: Bacteria
Description: partial 16S ribosomal RNA
Rfam family: Bacterial small subunit ribosomal RNA
Source: RNAcentral